GCGUUUUUUGUGAUUAGUGAUCAGAGUAUGGCCAUUUAAUAGAGUUUUGUGAUUAUUGAUAUAUGAGAAUAAGAUGCCCCAUUUUGUAAACAUUAAUACUCCCUCCGUCCAGGUGUAUAAGUCAUUCGCGUAGUUCUAGGUCAUCGAUUUGAGAAAUUAAAUAUGUGUUAUAUGUCAUGAAAAGUAUACCACUAGAUUUCCACACGGAUGUAGUUUCUAAAUAUAUAUUUUUUGUCACAUAUAAUACAUAUUUAGAUAGUUAAAUUAUCGACCUAGAACUACGCGAAUGACUUAUACACCGGGACGGAGGUAGUACUACGGACUGAUCGAACUAUGAACGAGUGCUUUUAUAAUCACUCCAGAAAUUCACAGGGGCACGCAGCCACACAGGUGCAGGGGCACACACCUGCCAAGCCCUGCCCGGCUGCUCGAUAGCCUUGCGAUUCAUGAAGUAGUUGG
RNAcentral lists this long non-coding RNA (459 nucleotides) under Triticum aestivum (bread wheat). RNAcentral's name for it is "long non-coding RNA (TAES_LNC026761)". The record is from RNAcentral. Lineage: Eukaryota; Viridiplantae; Streptophyta; Magnoliopsida; Poales; Poaceae.